CCUACGGGUGGCAGCAGUGAGGAAUAUUGGUCAAUGGACGAGAGUCUGAACCAGCCAAGUAGCGUGAAGGAUGACUGCCCUCUGGGUUGUAAACUUCUUUUAUAAAGGAAUAAAACGAGGCACGUGUGCCUUUUUGCAUGUACUUUAUGAAUAAGGAUCGGCUAACUCCGUGACAGCAGCCGCGGUAAUACGGAGGAUCCGAGCGUUAUCCGGAUUUAUUGGGGUUAAAGGGAGCGUAGAUGGGUUGUUAAGUCAGUUGUGAAAGUUUGCGGCUUAACCGUAAAAUUGCAAUUAAUACUGGCAGUCUUGAGUACAGUUGAGGUAAGCGGAAUUCGUGGUGUAGCGGUGGAAUGCUUAGAUAUCACGAAGAACACCGAUGGCGAAGGCAGCUUACUAAACUGUGACUGACACUGGUGCUCGAAAGUGUGGGUAGCAAACAGGAUUAGAUACCCGUGUAGUC
This 460-nucleotide ribosomal RNA is filed under the name uncultured bacterium. RNAcentral describes it as "partial 16S ribosomal RNA". It matches the Rfam family "Bacterial small subunit ribosomal RNA", at positions 338 to 795 of the family's 1533-position model. The record is from RNAcentral.